RNAcentral lists this ribosomal RNA (200 nucleotides) under uncultured bacterium. RNAcentral's name for it is "partial 16S ribosomal RNA". It matches the Rfam family "Bacterial small subunit ribosomal RNA", at positions 8 to 200 of the family's 1533-position model. The record is from RNAcentral.
AGAGUUUGAUCCUGGCUCAGGACGAACGCUGGCGGCGUGCCUAAUACAUGCAAGUCGAGCGAAGUUAUAAAGGUGCUUGCACCGAUAUAACUUAGCGGCGGACGGGUGAGUAACACGUAGGCAACCUGCCCGUAAGAUCGGGAUAACUAGCGGAAACGUUAGCUAAUACCGGAUAAUUUACUUCAUCGCAUGAAGGAGUA